This is a long non-coding RNA of Patella vulgata (common limpet), 3564 nucleotides long. RefSeq lists it as uncharacterized. The transcript has 7 exons. Lineage: Eukaryota; Metazoa; Mollusca; Gastropoda; Patellidae. The record is from RefSeq and is a predicted model, not a curated record.
UAGAGUGCCAUCCCUAAUUAUUUAUUUACCACCAUUAUACUACCUAGCUACUCUUAGGGUUGACAAUUUAAGGACUUACUCUUCCGAAACGAAAGCAUCUCCAUUUUAAAUUUUCGGGUGAGACGUGGGUCAUUUAAAAAGGGAUAAAUCUGCCACAAAUUUGACCAGUUUGGAAGGACUAUAGCGGUACAUUCUACGCAAUCAACCAGGGCGUCUUAUAUCCAGUCAUAAUGUCGACGGCUGCCACAACCACUACAACGACGCUAUCAACACCCCGUCAAAAUGGAAAUCAGAAUAACGCUAUAGAGACACAAGCUCCGUCUCAGAGAAAAGUUGAAAUGGCGGAUUCUGGAAGGAAGGCUGAGGAACAGACGGGGACAAUUGGUUUAAUGGAUGGCAAGAAGAAUUAUAAACGACAACCUCAAAAACCGCAGAAAUCCAGAAGCUGUUCAUCAUCCAGACUGUGGAUAUUUUUUACAGUUUUAUUUUUUCUUACAACAGUUGGGAUUUUAGCAGCCUUUAUAUGGAGACAUUCAUUUUAUGACAAAUGUGAAGGUGGAAACCAGACACAAGUGCCCCAAAGAUAUCGCGGAUUUUUUAGAACCCCAGAACAACAGGAGAAGUUCGCUCUGGAAGAAUAUGAAAGACAAAAGACAGAAUCCAGAAUUGCCAAUCAAACGGUUUACAACAACGCCAGUUGUAAUAUAUUUUGCAAAAGAGCAUUAAAUGAAACACCUGCAAGACAGUCAGGUCCAACACAGGGUUUUCAAACGUCGGGCGGCGUAACGCUUGGUCCCAUAUCGUUUAACGGAUGCUGUCAAUCGCAAACGUAUUUCCAAUCUCCAGCUACCGCUGAAGGUAUAGACGGCCUAAUCAAAGUAUUGGUUGUUGACGGCAAUCGACGACAGUUUUUCAGAACAGAAGAUUGCAAACGCGCAGCCGGAUGUACCGGGUGUACGUGCACGAGAAUAAUAGAGAGUUUUACAGCACUGAUAGAAAAUACCGAUGUCGAUGACGAUGAUGAAAACAGAUUCGAAAUAACGGCUAUCAAGUUGUUGGGGUGCUGUAAAUGUCUAAAUACAGGAUUCUCAGGACGAAGAUAAUCCGAACAUGUGAGCAUAAAUGUCAGUCCUCGAACAAAACAAGUAAACAAUAAAAUGGCGCUAGUAUUAAGAUAACGAACAAAUAAAUAUAUUUAUCAAAUAACGCCAAUACCGCCAAUAUAUUACUGUUAAAAUGACUUCUAUAUUAAGAUGACGUCAAAUGACAUCAGUGACGUGUGAGCAAUAAAACGAUCCGUCUGCUAUUUAACUGUUAUGGUUGAAAUGACAUCAGUGACGUGUGAGUGAUAGUAUGACGAAAGUUAUGGAAUGACAUAGGCCUAUAUUUAACUGUUAUGGCUAAAGUGACGUCAGUGAUUGAUGUACGGAAUUUCGGCUAUUUCGGACAUACGAAACUGUAUUAUGGUCAGAUAUUUGUGAUGUUUGUAGCAGAGGAUGUUUAUCUUUUCACGAAUACCUGGUGUAGGCGAUCUUUCCAUUGUGAGCUUAUGGUCAGGUAACAAACCCACUGGACGCCGCAGUAUAACUCCAUUUCCUGGUUGGAUUUUACUUUGACCACAUUGUUUUCAUCGAAUGUGCUUUGAAUUAAAUGAAGAUGUGGCUUGGGCAAAGCGGCAUGUCCACAUAUGGCAAACAAGAUGCCGCCUUGUCUGUUUAAGCACAUGAGAAACUAUAAACCUCCCUAUUAACAUUGAAGGAGGGUGUUUUCUAUAUUUCAUGUGAAAUCGUGUAUGUUUGAGUCCACAGCUUUAUAUCAAUAUAUUGUAAAUACAGCGCGUGUAUCUGGUGUGAACGAAGAAUACUAGUUAUCGUUUUUCAAUUUAUUUAAGAUUAUAUUAUUAAAGGUCCAUUAUGUAAGAUCUAAAUCUACCUAUAGCAGGCUUCAAAUGUUAUACAAAUUAAUAUUUAGACAUUUAUUUACGCACACAUAGCUUCGCUUAGAAUAAAGUAAUUGAACUUUUUAACUCAUUAUCUAUUUUUUUUAACUAUUAUAACAUUAAGAACGGUCAGACAUUAAUCUAAUUCUUACAUAAUGUAUCUUGUAAGUCAUUCUGAGUUGUACAUAUUGUCUAACUAAUUCUUUACCAGUUAUCAGUUCCGACGAAAUGGGGUUUAACGUUCUAGUGUUCUGUUCCGACUGGGCUAUAACGGUCAUACGCCAUACAGUGUGCUGUGAGGGAAUUUUUGCCCAGACAGCCACACUACGGCCUACUCUAAUAUCAAAUGCCAACUGUCAAGGAUUCUUUUACGUGCACGCCAAUGUGUACACUGGACCUCGGUUUGUCGUGCUAUCCCAAUUCCAACUGCCAAGGCUCAUCUCUUAUCAAUACGACGCCAUUAUAUUGAGUUCCAUACUUCAUUAUGAAUGUAGACGUGACAAGGAGUAGGGUCGCAUGUCCAACCUCGUGGGUUUUCUCCGGGUCUUCCGGUUUCCUCCCACUGCUAAAGAACCCUGCGCGUAAGAGAAUUAAUGACAUAAAAUUGAACCAUAUGUUACUCGGAACUGUAAUGAAACCCAAAGAUGUGAUAUCAAAUUCCAAAAUAAAUAGGAUAAGCAAUUGUAAUAUUCCAAACAAAACACAUUCCAUAACGAUCAGAAAUUUAUUGGUCAUACUAGUGCUUCUUUGGAUACCAUUUUAUUAGUGUAAGUUUUCGAAUGUUGUAAAUUUAAACGGCUUUUUAUUUUAAGUUCGUGUAUUAAUAAACCCGUGGCUGUGUAUUAUAAUGUAAUUAAUAAAUAGGCAUGUCCUUGUGUAUUGUAUGCGUUGGCCGUGAAAAUUCGUCGGGAUUUUUCGGUGUGAUCCACGUGGCGCAGAAGGGCAAACAAGUGUAUAUUAUAUUAUGUACAUAUGGAAUUAAUUAAAAAGCAUGUUUCAAUGAAUCCUUUAAGAUGAAUAAAGAACUACUUAACCUAGCUGAUGUUCAGCCCGAGUGAGUGUACUCACCGGAAGUUGUGUUUAGACAAUAGAAGUAGGAGAUAUCAUAUUUAUUGCUUGUGAUUGGUUUAUAUUAUAUUUUGUAUAUUUAGUUAUUUAUCGAGACUAAUCACAACGCGAAUGUAUUCUGAAAAACAUUUUUUUUUAAAAAAUAUAUAACAAACCCCAAAACAAUGUAAAUUUGUAAAUGGACAUACAGCUGUACAGCUCAAUAUUAAAAAUUUGUGACAGGAGUCAUAAUCUUUAUCCUUGGAGUUACUUCCCCUGAAUAGCGUUGUUCACCAUAGUGUGUAUCCCAUACGCUAAAACGUGUUGAAAUCAGUUCAAGUCAUUUAAAGGGAGACAAUCCAUCGUUGAUUUUGUUUUUAAAUUAGCCAUUAAAUAGGCUAAAGUAAAGUGUUUAUUCAGAAGUAUACAUGAACAGUAAAACCGAGAGAUAUUAUUCUACUUAAUAAAAUUAACAGUUUUAAUAUUUUAUUUCAUAGUUUUAUCACCUAGUAUUAUAAUAUACUAAUUUUUAUUUUUAUUAAAAUAUUAUGGAAUUUGACCAAAUAAAAAAAUAUCAU